GAUGGUUGGAAGAUCAUACAAAUGCCUGUCUGCCCUUGAGGGGAAGAAGAUGACAGGCUAGGAGCAAGGUCACCAGGGAACUAGAACAGGCACCAAGAACCACAUGGUGAAUGAUGCUCCUGGAGAGGUGGUACCCUCUGGGGAAUCAGGACUCCGAAGGAGAGGCUCUGACCCAGCAAGUGGAGAAGUGGAGGCCUCUCAGUUAAGAAGACUGAAUAUAAAGAAAGAUGAUGAGUUUUUCCAUUUCGUCCUCCUGUGCUUUGCCAUCGGGGCCUUGCUGGUGUGUUAUCACUAUUACGCAGACUGGUUCAUGUCUCUUGGGGUCGGCCUGCUCACCUUCGCCUCCCUGGAAACCGUUGGCAUCUACUUCGGACUAGUGUACCGCAUCCACAGCGCCCUCCAAGGCUUCAUCCCCCUCUUCCAGAAGUUUAGGCUGACAGGCUUCAGGAAGACUGACUGAGGCCACUUCCAGGUGGGCAGCAGAGGCAGGCCCCGGUGUGACCACCACUGCGACCCCUGAGCCCAUAAGGGCAGAGCAGCAUUCUGAGAGACGCACAGGAGACCAAGCCAGACCAAUAAACAGAACACUUUUCCUUC
This 597-nucleotide small RNA is filed under the name Pan troglodytes (chimpanzee). Its description in RNAcentral is "processed transcript". Lineage: Eukaryota; Metazoa; Chordata; Mammalia; Primates; Hominidae. The record is from RNAcentral.